Molecule: ribosomal RNA, 435 nt
Filed under: uncultured Eubacteriales bacterium
Lineage: Bacteria; Bacillati; Bacillota; Clostridia; Eubacteriales
Description: bacterial SSU rRNA
Rfam family: Bacterial small subunit ribosomal RNA
Source: RNAcentral
CCUUAGGGCGAAGAUAGUACAGGACAGUGGCGGAUGGGUGAGUAACGCGUAAGAAACCUGCCUUUCACACCGGGAUAGCAGCUGGAAACGGCUAUUAAUACCGGAUGACACUUUUUCCCCGCAUGAGGAAGAGGUUAAAGAAUUUCGGUGAAAGAUGGUCUUGCGUCUGAUUAGCUAGUUGGUGGGGUAACGGCCUACCAAGGCGACGAUCAGUAGCCGGCCUGAGAGGGUGUACGGCCACAUUGGGACUGAGACACGGCCCAAACUCCUACGGGAGGCAGCAGUGGGGAAUUUUGCACAAUGGAGGAAACUCUGAUGCAGCGACGCCGCGUGAACGAAGAAGGUCUUCGGAUUGUAAAGUUCUGUCCUGGGUGAAGAUAAUGACGGUAACUCAGGAGGAAGCCCCGGCUAACUACGUGCCAGCCGCCGCGGUAA